GAUGAACGCUAGCGGCAGGCCUAACACAUGCAAGUCGAGGGAGGAGCUUUCGGGCUUCGACCGGCGUACGGGUGCGUAACGCGUAUACAAUCUGCCUUUCACAUAGGGAUAGCCCGAAGAAAUUUGGAUUAAUACCUAAUGGUAUAUAGAGGUGGCAUCACCUUUAUAUUAAAGCUGAGGCGGUGAAAGAUGAGUAUGCGUUCUAUUAGCUAGUUGGAGAGGUAACGGCUCCCCAAGGCGACGAUAGAUAGGGGUUCUGAGAGGGAUAUCCCCCACACUGGUACUGAGAUACGGACCAGACUCCUACGGGAGGAAGCAGUGAGGAAGAUUGGACAAUGGUCGGAAGACUGAUCCAGCCAUGCCGCGUGCAGGAAGACGGCCUUAUGGGUUGUAAACUGCUUUUGCAGGGGAAGAAUAAGGACUACGCGUAGUUUGAUGACGGUACUCUGCGAAUAAGCAUCGGCUAACUCCGUG
Molecule: ribosomal RNA, 474 nt
Filed under: uncultured bacterium
Lineage: Bacteria
Description: partial 16S ribosomal RNA
Rfam family: Bacterial small subunit ribosomal RNA
Source: RNAcentral